This 307-nucleotide ribosomal RNA is filed under the name uncultured bacterium. Its description in RNAcentral is "bacterial SSU rRNA". It matches the Rfam family "Bacterial small subunit ribosomal RNA", at positions 28 to 334 of the family's 1533-position model. The record is from RNAcentral.
GACGAACGCUGGCGGCAGGCUUAACACAUGCAAGUCGAACGAGAAUCUAGAGCUUGCUCUAGAGGACAGUGGCGCACGGGUGAGUAACGCGUAGGCAACCUACCCCUAGAAUUGGAAGAACUCCGGGAAACCGAAGCUAAUACCGAAUAACAUCUUAAGAUCGCAUGGUCUAUAGAUCAAAACUCCGGUGUCUAGGGAUGGGCCUGCGUAAGAUUAGGUAGUUGGUGGGGUAAUGGCCCACCAAGCCGACGAUCUUUAGCUGGUCUGAGAGGAUGAUCAGCCACACUGGCACUGAGACACGGGCCAG